Molecule: ribosomal RNA, 253 nt
Filed under: uncultured bacterium
Lineage: Bacteria
Description: partial 16S ribosomal RNA
Rfam family: Bacterial small subunit ribosomal RNA
Source: RNAcentral
UACAGAGGUCUCAAGCGUUGUUCGGAUUCAUUGGGCGUAAAGGGUGUGUAGGUGGCGCGCUAAGUCGGGUGUGAAAUUUCGGAGCUUAACUCCGAAACUGCAUUCGAUACUGGCGUGCUUGAGGACUGGAGAGGAGACUGGAAUUCAUGGUGUAGCAGUGAAAUGCGUAGAGAUCAUGAGGAAGACCAGUGGCGAAGGCGGGUCUCUGGACAGUUCCUGACACUGAGACACGAAGGCCAGGGGAGCGAACGGG